RNAcentral lists this ribosomal RNA (470 nucleotides) under uncultured organism. Its description in RNAcentral is "partial 16S ribosomal RNA". It matches the Rfam family "Bacterial small subunit ribosomal RNA", at positions 335 to 801 of the family's 1533-position model. The record is from RNAcentral.
ACUCCUGCGGGAGGCAGCAGUGAGGAAUAUUGGACAAUGGGUGGAAGCCUGAUCCAGCCAUCCCGCGUGCAGGAAGACGGCCCUACGGGUUGUAAACUGCUUUUAUCUGGGGAUAAACCUACUUACGUGUAAGUAGCUGAAGGUACCAGAAGAAUAAGCACCGGCUAACUCCGUGCCAGCAGCCGCGGUAAUACGGAGGGUGCAAGCGUUAUCCGGAUUUAUUGGGUUUAAAGGGUCCGUAGGCGGACUGAUAAGUCAGUGGUGAAAUCCGACAGCUUAACUGUCGAACUGCCAUUGAUACUGUUAGUCUUGAGUAAGGUUGAAGUGGCUGGAAUAAGUAGUGUAGCGGUGAAAUGCAUAGAUAUUACUUAGAACACCAAUUGCGAAGGCAGGUCACUAAGUCUUAACUGACGCUGAUGGACGAAAGCGUGGGGAGCGAACAGGAUUAGAAACCCGAGUAGUCCCAUGAU